This 547-nucleotide ribosomal RNA is filed under the name uncultured Glomeromycotina. RNAcentral describes it as "SSU rRNA". It matches the Rfam family "Eukaryotic small subunit ribosomal RNA", at positions 548 to 1098 of the family's 1831-position model. The record is from RNAcentral. Lineage: Eukaryota; Fungi; Glomeromycota.
UUGGAGGGCAAGUCUGGUGCCAGCAGCCGCGGUAAUUCCAGCUCCAAUAGCGUAUAUUAAAGUUGUUGCAGUUAAAAAGCUCGUAGUUGAAUUUCGGGGUUCUACCGUCGGUCGGGCUACCAAGUCUGUACUGGUGUGUAGAAUUUCUACCUUCUGGGGAACCAUCAUGUUAUUAAUUUAGCGUGGUGGGAAACCAGGACCUUUACCUUGAAAAAAUUAGAGUGUUCAAAGCAGGCUUAUGUCUGAAUACAUUAGCAUGGAAUAAUAGAAUAGGACGGUGGUCCUGUUUUGUUGGUUUCUGAAUCACCGUAAUGAUUAAUAGGGAUAGUUGGGGGCAUUAGUAUUCAAUUGUCAGAGGUGAAAUUCUUGGAUUUAUUGAAGACUAACUUCUGCGAAAGCAUUUGCCAAGGAUGUUUUCAUUAAUCAAGAACGAAAGUUAGGGGAUCGAAGACGAUCAGAUACCGUCGUAGUCUUAACCAUAAACUAUGCCGACUAGGGAUCGGACGAUGUUAAAUUUUAUUGACUCGUUCGGCGCCUUACGGGAAAC